UACGUAGGGGGCAAGCGUUAUCCGGAAUUAUUGGGCGUAAAGAGUGCGUAGGUGGUUACCUAAGCGCAGGGUUUAAGGCAAUGGCUCAACCAUUGUUCGCCUUGCGAACUGGGCUACUUGAGUGCAGGAGAGGAAAGCGGAAUUCCUAGUGUAGCGGUGAAAUGCGUAGAUAUUAGGAGGAACACCAGCGGCGAAGGCGGCUUUCUGGACUGUAACUGACACUGAGGCACGAAAGCGUGGGGAGCAAACAGG
Molecule: ribosomal RNA, 252 nt
Filed under: uncultured bacterium
Lineage: Bacteria
Description: partial 16S ribosomal RNA
Rfam family: Bacterial small subunit ribosomal RNA
Source: RNAcentral